UACGGGGGGGGCAAGCGUUGUUCGGAAUUACUGGGCGUAAAGGGUGCGUAGGCGGUUUUGUAAGUCUUGUGUGAAAUCUUCAGGCUCAACUUGAAGACUGCACGAGAAACUGCAGGGCUUGAGUGUGGGAGAGGUGAGUGGAAUUCCUGGUGUAGCGGUGAAAUGCGUAGAUAUCAGGAGGAACACCUGUGGCGAAAGCGGCUCACUGGACCACAACUGACGCUGAUGCACGAAAGCUAGGGGAGCAAACAGG
RNAcentral lists this ribosomal RNA (253 nucleotides) under uncultured bacterium. RNAcentral describes it as "partial 16S ribosomal RNA". It matches the Rfam family "Bacterial small subunit ribosomal RNA", at positions 524 to 776 of the family's 1533-position model. The record is from RNAcentral.